UUGUUUGAGGAUAUUAGUGUUGAUGGGAGUGACCAUUGGAACCCCGCAUCUGGCUUGCCUCCCCCCUCUAGUUCAGCAUUGAAAACCGCCUUGAAUGUUGAUGAAAUCACUGAUCUUGAUUUGGAGGACCAUAUCGAAGAGCAAGCAUCUCCAUCAAUAUCUAGUGCGUCUAAAGUGAGGCUUGGGGUCACGAUUCCAGAGAAGAACAAGAAAUCGAAGACCGCACAAGUGAUGCAGGAGGAGAUUAGAAAGACUAGUUCCAUUGCCCAUGCUUCGCACGCAACAUUUCAAUCUUUCCUAAGAAAUGAAUCCACCUCCGUUGCCUCUACCAUGGAUUUAGUUCAUGCUUGUGGCGCAAUAGAAGGCACAGAUGAGAACUUCAUUGCUACUGAGCUCUUUCUGAAGAGAGAGCAGAGGGAGACGUUCUUGCACAUGACAGCUGACUCUCCAAAGGGUUGGCUGCGUAGGAUGUUUAACCUCAAGUAUGGGAACUAG
Molecule: ribosomal RNA, 495 nt
Filed under: Triticum aestivum (bread wheat)
Lineage: Eukaryota; Viridiplantae; Streptophyta; Magnoliopsida; Poales; Poaceae
Description: partial small subunit ribosomal RNA
Source: RNAcentral